Molecule: long non-coding RNA, 534 nt
Filed under: Manihot esculenta (cassava)
Lineage: Eukaryota; Viridiplantae; Streptophyta; Magnoliopsida; Malpighiales; Euphorbiaceae
Description: long non-coding RNA (MESC_LNC013165)
Source: RNAcentral
UUCUCAGUUGUGUGAUUGAUUAUGAGUUGUUGAUUGAUUUUCAGUUGCAAGUAUGAUUCUGAUAUCUAGGUGAUUCUCACAAGGAAAUUGUUUAUGAUUCUCAGUUGUGUGAUUGAUUUUUCUAUUAUGAUAUCUUGCAAGUAUUGUAAAUGUGAUAUCUUGCAGGUAUUAUAAUUGUCAUAUCUUGUAGGUAUUACCAUUAUUCCUUACUUUAGUAUUCAAAUUGAACUGUUAUUCUGUGAUUUUCUAGGAAAAUUAUUUGAAGCUAAAAGAACAACAUUCAAGCCAGAAUGUGGGAUCAGAUCAUGUGGAAGGAGAUGGAGGAAAUAUUAAUGAGGAUCAAUUGUUCAUUGCUGCAGCAGGAGGAUGGCAAGGAAGUCGAGUUUAUGGUUUAGGUAGUGCUGCAUCUUCUGCCUUCUCUCAAACAGGAACUGUGGAAAAAACAACAGAUGUUCCAUCAUCACAAUCACCAGAAUGGAAGAAGGAAAUUGAAGCAAAGUUUGAUGAGAAGUAUAAUAGUUUGCAGAAACUNNN